RNAcentral lists this small nuclear RNA (18 nucleotides) under Arabidopsis thaliana (thale cress). RNAcentral describes it as "snRNA_06438". Lineage: Eukaryota; Viridiplantae; Streptophyta; Magnoliopsida; Brassicales; Brassicaceae. The record is from RNAcentral.
GGCUGGAAGAGCACCGCA